RNAcentral lists this ribosomal RNA (468 nucleotides) under uncultured bacterium. Its description in RNAcentral is "partial 16S ribosomal RNA". It matches the Rfam family "Bacterial small subunit ribosomal RNA", at positions 28 to 507 of the family's 1533-position model. The record is from RNAcentral.
GACGAACGCUGGCGGCGUGCUUAACACAUGCAAGUCGAACGGCAAGGCCCUGCUUUUGUGGGGUGCUCGAGUGGCGAACGGGUGAGUAACACGUGAGUAACCUGCCCUUGACUUUGGGAUAACUUCAGGAAACUGGGGCUAAUACCGGAUAGGAGCUCCUGCUGCAUGGUGGGGGUUGGAAAGUUUCGGCGGUGGGGGAUGGACUCGCGGCUUAUCAGCUUGUUGGUGGGGUAGUGGCUUACCAAGGCUUUGAAGGGUAGCCGGGCUGAGGGGGUGACCGGCCACAUUGGGCCUGAGAUACGGCCCAGACUACUACGGGAGGCAGCAGUGGGGAAUAUUGCACAAUGGGCGGAAGCCUGAUGCAGCAACGCCGCGUGCGGGAUGACGGCCUUCGGGUUGUAAACCGCUUUCGCCUGUGACGAAGCGUGAGUGACGGUAAUGGGUAAAGAAGCACCGGCUAACUACGUG